RNAcentral lists this non-coding RNA (23 nucleotides) under Arabidopsis thaliana (thale cress). Lineage: Eukaryota; Viridiplantae; Streptophyta; Magnoliopsida; Brassicales; Brassicaceae. The record is from RNAcentral.
UAGUGGAUUGAUCACCUCAGUAC